Molecule: ribosomal RNA, 416 nt
Filed under: uncultured eukaryote
Lineage: Eukaryota
Description: bacterial SSU rRNA
Rfam family: Eukaryotic small subunit ribosomal RNA
Source: RNAcentral
CAAUAGCGUAUAUUAAAGUUGUUGCGGUUAAAAAGCUCGUAGUUGGAUUUCUGUUAGGGACGACCGGUCCGCACUAUGUGCGUGUAUCUGGCUCGGCCUUGGCAUCCUCCUGGGGAACGGUGCUGCGCUUGAUUGCGUGGUCCGGUAUUCAGGACUUUUACUUUGAGGAAAUUAGAGUGUUUACGGCAGGCAAUCGCCUUGAAUAUAUUAGCAUGGAAUAAUACUAUAGGACCUUGGUCUAUUUUGUUGGUUUCUAGGGCCGAAGUAAUGAUUAAGAGGGACAAUUGGGGGCAUCCGUAUUUCGUUGUCAGAGGUGAAAUUCUUGGAUUUACGAAAGACGAACAACUGCGAAAGCACUUGCCAAGAGUGUUUUCAUUAAUCAAGAACGAAAGUUAGAGGAUCGAAGACGAUUAGAU